AGUUGGGCACUCUAGUGAGACUGCCGGUGACAAACCGGAGGAAGGUGGGGACGACGUCAAAUCAUCAUGCCCCUUAUGACCUGGGCUACACACGUGCUACAAUGGAUGGUACAACGAGUCGCGAGACCGCGAGGUUAAGCUAAUCUCUUAAAACCAUUCUCAGUUCGGACUGUAGGCUGCAACUCGCCUACACGAAGUCGGAAUCGCUAGUAAUCGCGGAUC
RNAcentral lists this ribosomal RNA (222 nucleotides) under Pediococcus pentosaceus. Its description in RNAcentral is "partial 16S ribosomal RNA". It matches the Rfam family "Bacterial small subunit ribosomal RNA", at positions 1129 to 1350 of the family's 1533-position model. The record is from RNAcentral. Lineage: Bacteria; Bacillati; Bacillota; Bacilli; Lactobacillales; Lactobacillaceae.